Molecule: transfer RNA, 72 nt
Filed under: Camelus bactrianus (Bactrian camel)
Lineage: Eukaryota; Metazoa; Chordata; Mammalia; Artiodactyla; Camelidae
Also listed under: 2 other names
Rfam family: tRNA
About the family: Transfer RNA (tRNA) molecules are approximately 80 nucleotides in length. Their secondary structure includes four short double-helical elements and three loops (D, anti-codon, and T loops).
Source: Rfam by way of RNAcentral
GAGGGUAUAGCUCAUUGGUAGAGUGUGUCCCUAGCAUGCACAAGGUCCUGGGUUCAAUUCCCAGUACUGCCA